GUCUUUGUAUUUUUCAUUUUACAAAGAUGAAUUGUACUUAUUGUUGCAGAGUCAAAAGAUCCACUUAGGGAUAAUAUGAAGAAAUCUAUAUGUGCAAGCGUAGAAAAUUCGUGUCUAUAUAGGAGUGUAUCUGCAGUGUCCUGUCAAUAGAAUAUAUCACUUAAUAAUUAAUCAGAGAAUAUGCAUGGAACUAAGUACGCCAUAAUCUUACUUAAAAAACAUCAACUUAAAGCAUUCAAAUCUCUCAACCCUGCCUAUAAUAAGAACAUCGAAUAUAUAUGAAGAUACUACCAACGCAUGAAAACUAGCACACACCACAAUAUAAAAUGCUUUCCAAAGAGUGAAAAUCAAAGGGUGACUAAUUAGUUUCUGGGCUUGAGUCUGCCUUCGUUGGCUAGCUUAAAGAGCUGUCCCUGAGCAGCUGCAGCCUUAUUGGAGGCGAGUGCAGUUAGGAAAUUCUCCCUGACUUGACUUGUAGUGAAAGGAAAUCGUCUGGCGUACAUGGAGUUGAGCAAGGCAGCAGUCCCUUCUCUGUAGAGUGUUCCAUACCCAUCAGUCCGUGUAUUUGAUAGUGCUUGUGGCAAGCUCAUGCCUGCUCCAAGCCCCGGCAAGCUAUUCGUUCCAAAUGCGCUGCCUAGGGUUCCCCACCACCCCAGGAGACCAAAUAUUAUUCCAGGAUGAUUCCUCCAGUAAUUGCAUGUGAAUGGUGAAUUUGGAUCGGGAAUAAAUGGAGGUGAGGGAACGAAAGGGGUGCUUGGAGGUGAGGGAACGAAAGGGGUGCUUGGAGGGGUCAGAAUGAUAGGUGUUGGAGGACUACCGCCAGAGCUUGGAGGAGAGGGGUAGUAUCCACCACCUCCUUGAGGAGGAUCUGAA
Molecule: unclassified non-coding RNA, 873 nt
Filed under: Hevea brasiliensis (rubber tree)
Lineage: Eukaryota; Viridiplantae; Streptophyta; Magnoliopsida; Malpighiales; Euphorbiaceae
Source: RNAcentral